RNAcentral lists this long non-coding RNA (1690 nucleotides) under Salmo salar (Atlantic salmon). Its description in RNAcentral is "lncRNA (ENSSSAG00000121270.1)". Lineage: Eukaryota; Metazoa; Chordata; Actinopteri; Salmoniformes; Salmonidae. The record is from RNAcentral.
GUCCCGCUUUGCUGCUCCGUGAUAGAACAUGGCAGUUUAGGUUACCAUCUCAAUGUAAAUCUCUUUCAUACACAAAGAUAACAAGCCAAUACGAGAGGAGGGGGACAUUUCUUUGCACCCCCUGACUGAAAUUCGAACAGCAUUCAACACAGAUUCUGUCUCAGAAAUUAUGGAAGCAGCAAAUGAUUACACCAUCUUCCAAAUGGUAGAGCAACAGGUUAAUCUAGUCUACUGGGUACGACCAUGAAGGAUGUCCUACGUGUUCGCCACCGCCUUGACACCACCAGCAAAGUUCUCCAUACCUCUGACGGAGGGCCUCCUACCACGGGUCAUCACAGUGAGCCAGUCCCCCAGCCUACCCAGCAGUCCGCCCAGACGGGAGCCCCCACCCCCUAGAGGUCCAAGGUUGUCACGGUCAUUUCCCUGCUGACUGGACAGGCGUUGGAGUGGGCUACGGCCGUCUGGGAGAGAGGAGAGGAUGCGGUCUUCGACCAUCCUCCAGAGUGCAGAGAGGGAGGUGAGUGACUUUAUUUUUCUUCGAGAGCGCUGGUGUCCACCAUGCCACUCCACCCCUCGUUUGGCUGUCCUAAGGGAGAGCCUGAAACCAUGAGGUGGGGGGCCACGCACCUCUCCACGUCAUGGGAGACAGCUGGGACUCUGUUCCUAUUGCGGCCAGGAGGGACACCAGCUUCAGCGGUGCCCGGUGCGUCCUAAGCCGGGGUCCACUAGAACAGAGGGGUGGCCCUGUGACCUUCCAUCUCCCAAGGUAGGCGUGAGUUUUCCAUCACUUUCCGCCAAACCCUUUCUGGCUUCAUUUUUGCUGGCUGUCCCUCAUCUGUCUCUACAGCUCUAGUGGACUCCAGUGCCGCUGGGAACUUCAUCAACCAGGCCCUCGCCUCCUCCCUGAACUUAACUUCAUACCCGCUCUCCUCCUUUUCCUGUCCAAGCUCUGGAUAUGUGACCAUUGGGAUCCACCACAAUUACUCAUGUCACAGCACCACUCACCUUCAACGUGGGACCCAAGCACUAGGAAAGCCUUCCCUUCACCACCGCACCCAUAUACAAAGUAAUCCUCGGCCUCCCAUGGCUUCAACUCCAUAACCCCACCAUCUCCUGGUCAAGGAUGAGAAUCAUCGCCUGGGGACCAGGAUGCCGAGGGACCUGCUUUCCCGCACCCUGUGGUUCCACGUCUGUGGAGGGUCUUGGGAGUGUCCUCCAGCCCAUCAAGCGGUCCUCCCGUAUCGUUGGUCCCAUGUUUUGGGACAUGAUGUGGACAUCUGCCAGGCUCUGUAGAGAACCAGCUCCUGCCACCUGCCCUCCAGAGUGCAUCUACGUCCCCAAGGAGGUGAGAGAUCGGCUGUUGACCUGGGCACACACAUCCCUUGCCGCUGGACACCCAGGUAUCACCCGCACCAUCCAAUUCCUCUCCGAUAAAUACUGGUGGCCCACCUUGGCGAAGGACGUCGCCCACUAUGUCAACUUAUGUUCAGUAUGUACUCAGUCCAAAUCUUCCCGGCACACUCCAGCAGGUCGCUGAGGCACUAUUCCAGCAGGUCUUCCAACACACGUCGCGGGUCUGGAAAGCCUUUAUGGAGAAGCUGGGGACCAUGAUCAGGUGGACAACCACUGCAGUGAGGCUCCCGUGUUUCAUCCUGGUGCUCACGUCUGGCUCUCCAUCAGAAACCUCCGC